This 908-nucleotide ribosomal RNA is filed under the name uncultured bacterium. RNAcentral describes it as "bacterial SSU rRNA". It matches the Rfam family "Bacterial small subunit ribosomal RNA", at positions 118 to 1009 of the family's 1533-position model. The record is from RNAcentral.
UAUGCAAUCUACCUUGUACAGAGGGAUAGCCCAGAGAAAUUUGGAUUAAUACCUCAUAGUAUCUUCGGAAGGCAUCUUCUGAUUAUUAAAGUUCCAACGGUACAAGAUGAGCAUGCGUCCCAUUAGUUAGUUGGUAAGGUAACGGCUUACCAAGACUAUGAUGGGUAGGGGUCCUGAGAGGGAGAUCCCCCACACUGGUACUGAGACACGGACCAGACUCCUACGGGAGGCAGCAGUGAGGAAUAUUGGGCAAUGGGCGAGAGCCUGACCCAGCCAUGCCGCGUGCAGGAAGACGGUCCUAUGGAUUGUAAACUGCUUUUAUACGGGAAGAAACCCUGCUACGUGUAGCAGAUUGACGGUACCGUAGGAAUAAGCACCGGCUAACUACGUGCCAGCAGCCGCGGUAAUACGUAGGGUGCGAGCGUUAAUCGGAAUUACUGGGCGUAAAGCGUGCGCAGGCGGUUUUGUAAGACAGGCGUGAAAUCCCCGGGCUCAACCUGGGAAUUGCGCUUGUGACUGCAAGGCUAGAGUGCGGCAGAGGGGGAUGGAAUUCCGCGUGUAGCAGUGAAAUGCGUAGAUAUGCGGAGGAACACCGAUGGCGAGGGCAAUCCCCUGGGCCUGCACUGACGCUCAUGCACGAAAGCGUGGGGAGCAAACAGGAUUAGAUACCCUGGUAGUCCACGCCCUAAACGAUGUCAACUGGUUGUUGGGUCUUUGCUGACUCAGUAACGAAGCUAACGCGUGAAGUUGACCGCCUGGGGAGUACGGCCGCAAGGUUGAAACUCAAAGGGAAUUGACGGGGGACCCGCACAAGGCGGCGGAAUGGAUGUGGGUUUAAUUCGGAUGCAACCGCGGAAGAACCCUUACCAGGGGCUUUGACAUUGUCCCGGAAUCUUUGGUGAAAAGCC